RNAcentral lists this ribosomal RNA (428 nucleotides) under uncultured bacterium. Its description in RNAcentral is "bacterial SSU rRNA". It matches the Rfam family "Bacterial small subunit ribosomal RNA", at positions 355 to 775 of the family's 1533-position model. The record is from RNAcentral.
UGGGGAAUUUUGGACAAUGGGCGCAAGCCUGAUCCAGCCAUUCCGCGUGCAGGACGAAGGCCUUCGGGUUGUAAACUGCUUUUGUACGGAACGAAAAGGCUCUGGCUAAUACCUGGGGCUCAUGACGGUACCGUAAGAAUAAGCACCGGCUAACUACGUGCCAGCAGCCGCGGUAAUACGUAGGGUGCAAGCGUUAAUCGGAAUUACUGGGCGUAAAGCGUGCGCAGGCGGUUAUGUAAGACAGAGGUGAAAUCCCCGGGCUCAACCUGGGAACUGCCUUUGUGACUGCAUAGCUGGAGUACGGCAGAGGGGGAUGGAAUUCCGCGUGUAGCAGUGAAAUGCGUAGAUAUGCGGAGGAACACCGAUGGCGAAGGCAAUCCCCUGGGCCUGUACUGACGCUCAUGCACGAAAGCGUGAGGAGCAAACAG